RNAcentral lists this ribosomal RNA (496 nucleotides) under uncultured bacterium. RNAcentral's name for it is "partial 16S ribosomal RNA". It matches the Rfam family "Bacterial small subunit ribosomal RNA", at positions 29 to 507 of the family's 1533-position model. The record is from RNAcentral.
AUGAACGCUGGCGGCGUGCCUAAUACAUGCAAGUCGAGCGAACAGACGAGGAGCUUGCUCCUCUGACGUUAGCGGCGGACGGGUGAGUAACACGUGGAUAACCUACCUAUAAGACUGGGAUAACUUCGGGAAACCGGAGCUAAUACCGGAUAAUAUAUUGAACCGCAUGGUUCAAUAGUGAAAGACGGUUUUGCUGUCACUUAUAGAUGGAUCCGCGCCGCAUUAGCUAGUUGGUAAGGUAACGGCUUACCAAGGCAACGAUGCGUAGCCGACCUGAGAGGGUGAUCGGCCACACGGGAACGGAGACACGGUCCAGACUCCUACGGGAGGCAGCAGUAGGGAAUCUUCCGCAAUGGGCGAAAGCUUGACGGAGCAACGCCGCGUGAGUGAUGAAGGUCUUCGGAUCGUAAAACUCUGUUAUUAGGGAAGAACAAAUGUGUAAGUAACUAUGCACGUCUUGACGGUACCUAAUCAGAAAGCCACGGCUAACUACGUG